ACGGCUCAGUAACACGUGGACAACCUGCCCUUAGGACGGGGAUAAACCCGGGAAACUGGGUAUAAUACCCGAUAGGUCUCGAGUGCUGGAAUGCAUCGAGAUCUAAAGCUCCGGCGCCUAAGGAUGGGUCUGUGGCCGAUCAGGUAGUAGUGGGUGUAGUGUACCUACUAGCCUACGACGGGUACGGGUUGUGAGAGCAAGAGCCCGGAGAUGGAUUCUGAGACACGAAUCCAGGCCCUACGGGGUGCAGCAGGCGCGAAAACUUUACAAUGCUGGCAACAGCGAUAAGGGAACCUCGAGUGCCAGGUUACAAAUCUGGCUGUCGUGAUGCCUAAAAAGCAUUGCAUAGCAAGGGCCGGGCAAGACCGGUGCCAGCCGCCGCGGUAACACCGGCGGCUCGAGUGGUAACCGUUAUUAUUGGGUCUAAAGGGUCUGUAGCCGGCCGGAUAAGUCUCUUGAGAAAUCUGGCAGCUUAACUGUCAGGCUUUCAGGAGAUACUGUCUGGCUCGAGGCCGGGAGAGGUGAGAGGUACUUCAGGGGUAGGGGUGAAAUCUUGUAAUCCUUGAAGGACCACCAGUGGCGAAGGCGUCUCACCAGAACGGACCUGACGGCAAGGGACGAAAGCUAGGGGCACGAACCGGAUUAGAUACCCGGGUAGUCCUAGCCGUAAACGAUACUCGCUAGGUGUCGGCCACGGUGCGACCGUUGUCGGUGCCGUAGGGAAGCCGUGAAGCGAGCCACCUGGGAAGUACGGCCGCAAGGCUGAAACUUAAAGGAAUUGGCGGGGGAGCACCACAACGGGUGGAGCUUGCGGUUUAAUUGGAUUCAACGCCGG
RNAcentral lists this ribosomal RNA (835 nucleotides) under uncultured archaeon. Its description in RNAcentral is "bacterial SSU rRNA". It matches the Rfam family "Archaeal small subunit ribosomal RNA", at positions 85 to 921 of the family's 1478-position model. The record is from RNAcentral.